ACUUGUUUGUGUUUUCCUGCAGAGUCUAAUCCGAAACAGAAUUAUUGAUGGUAGUUUGCCGUUCUACCUGUGAUUGAACUGUUAUAGCAGCCAGUUGACAUUAAUGCAUAUGCAGAUGAUGUUUAAUGAAAUGAGAAAACUUAAAAGAAUAUAAGAAAGCAGACUGCAUUAAUUUGUCUGAUAAAAAUUAAAA
Molecule: long non-coding RNA, 193 nt
Organism: Populus euphratica (Euphrates poplar)
Lineage: Eukaryota; Viridiplantae; Streptophyta; Magnoliopsida; Malpighiales; Salicaceae
Exons: 2
Source: RefSeq, a predicted model, not a curated record